This 466-nucleotide ribosomal RNA is filed under the name uncultured bacterium. Its description in RNAcentral is "partial 16S ribosomal RNA". It matches the Rfam family "Bacterial small subunit ribosomal RNA", at positions 29 to 507 of the family's 1533-position model. The record is from RNAcentral.
ACGCACGCUGGCGGCGUGCUUAACACAUGCAAGUCGAACGGAAAGGCCCUGCUUUUGUGGGGUGCUCGAGUGGCGAACGGGUGAGUAACACGUGAGUAACCUGCCCUUGACUUUGGGAUAACUUCAGGAAACUGGGGCUAAUACCGGAUAGGAGCUCCUGCUGCAUGGUGGGGGUUGGAAAGUUUCGGCGGUUGGGGAUGGACUCGCGGCUUAUCAGCUUGUGGUGGGGUAGUGGCUUACCAAGGCUUUGACGGGUAGCCGGCCUGAGAGGGUGACCGGCCACAUUGGGACUGAGAUACGGCCCAGACUCCUACGGGAGGCAGCAGUGGGGAAUAUUGCACAAUGGGCGGAAGCCUGAUGCAGCAACGCCGCGUGCGGGAUGACGGCCUUCGGGUUGUAAACCGCUUUCGCCUGUGACGAAGCGUGAGUGACGGUAAUGGGUAAAGAAGCACCGGCUAACUACGUG